This 1177-nucleotide long non-coding RNA is filed under the name Triticum aestivum (bread wheat). Its description in RNAcentral is "long non-coding RNA (TAES_LNC001969)". The record is from RNAcentral. Lineage: Eukaryota; Viridiplantae; Streptophyta; Magnoliopsida; Poales; Poaceae.
GGAUCACAAAAGCUCAUAUAUUAACUAUACAAAUUCCUUUACAUUUACAGAUAGCCAAAAUAAAUGAUAUUCUCAAGUCGUUUCCCACCCAUUGGUCCAACCUAUUCUUCGACGACAUCUUCUCGGCAUGCUUAAGUUACAUUGUCUGCAUCUAGAAAACAACAGAGAAAGUAAGGGUGAGUACGACAAGUCAUACUCAGCAAGUAGGUACUUCACUAUUCAACAAGAGUAGAAUUUAAGGAUAUUGAUACAGUAACAAUGGGUUGACUGUAUCUAAAGGAGCAUAAAUAACGUGACAAAUUGCUGGGGCCAAUUUCAUUGGAAAUAGGUAAAAGAACAUCAUAACCGGAUAUAAUGAAAAUGGACCAAGAAAUUAUUGGCAUUAUACAUGACCGCAAGCUUCCCAACCCGGGAGUCACAGGGGUGAAAUUUCACACUUUUACGCUCUUAAGAGGGGUACUUCGACGUCGACAGCCUCGACUAGAACCACACAGGUUCUAGAAAAGCAGAGCUCUUGUAUCCACUAAGACCCGGACGCCUGGACCUACUGAUGUCGGUCGCUCCUACGGAUCCAUCACCGACACGUUCCUGAACAAGGUCCGUCCUUAGCGGAGAACUCAGACAGUCCCAUACCUGAACUGUGACCGGUACAAUAUGUUUGCCGUCGCGACACCAAUAUAGAUGGAUGUAUGUUUGAAUCAAUGAUAGGAUCAUUGAAAUAUUAGUCAAAGACAAUACACUCAUGACUUUUCAUAAGUUCCUCCAAAAUACUCCGAUUCCGUCAACAAAUGGAUUAUGAGGAAAACACAUCCCUCUCUCAAGGAUCAACACAGGAUCAACAAGGAUCAACAAGGAUCAACAAGGAUCAAGGUGCGAUAAUAUUACUAGAUAAUCAAGGAAGACAACAAUAAGGCGAGAUCAGGGAGUUUAGCAAAGCAGCUACUUGCCUAGAUAUUAGAAAUUAUUCUUCAUGGCAUCAGAUAAAUAUUUCCUCCGAUCGACCGCCGGUAUAUAACGCCGCAUCAGUUAUCAUAGUAUAUGUAUGUUCUACACAUAGCAUAUACAGCGUGAUUAUCCCUUCUAUGCAGUGGAUGCAACAUCUCCUCCUCGCUCUGCCCUCUCAUCUGAACUCAGGUUCUAUGCGUCUCUCUCCUUCUCCCAAUAGUGUGUGAGGUGC